RNAcentral lists this ribosomal RNA (275 nucleotides) under uncultured bacterium. RNAcentral's name for it is "partial 16S ribosomal RNA". It matches the Rfam family "Bacterial small subunit ribosomal RNA", at positions 524 to 794 of the family's 1533-position model. The record is from RNAcentral.
UACAGAGGGUGCAAGCGUUAAUCGGAAUUACUGGGCGUAAAGCGUGCGCAGACGGUUGCGUAAGUCAGAUGUGAAAGCCCCGGGCUCAACCUGGGAAUUGCAUUUGAGACUGCGUAGCUAGGGUGCGGAAGAGGGAAGCGGAAUUUCCGGUGUAGCGGUGAAAUGCGUAGAUAUCUGGAGGAACACCGGUGGCGAAAGCGGCUCACUGGAUCGAUACUGACGCUGAGGUGCGAAAGCUAGGGUAGCAAACGGGAUUAAGAAACCCGUGGUAACGU